Cebus imitator (Panamanian white-faced capuchin) is the source of this 2657-nucleotide long non-coding RNA. RefSeq lists it as uncharacterized. The record is from RefSeq and is a predicted model, not a curated record. The transcript is spliced from 10 exons. NCBI's taxonomy places the organism in Eukaryota, Metazoa, Chordata, Mammalia, Primates, Cebidae.
CUGAGUGGAAGCUUUUUAACGAUGUGAUCCCAUUUGUCAAUUUUUGCUUUGGUUGCCUGUACUUAUGGGUAUUACUCAAGAAAUUGUUGCCCAGACAAACGUCCUGGAGAGUUUCCCAGAUGUUUUCUUGUAGUCGUUUCAUGGUUUGAGGUCUUAGAUUUAAGUUUUUAAUCCAUUUGGUUUUGAUUUUUGUAUAUGGUGAGAUAGGGGUUUAGUUUCAUUCUUCUGCAUACGGAUAUCCAGUUUCCCAGCACCAUUUAUUGAAGAUAUUUUUCUAUAAAUGGGCUUUUAAAAAAUGAAGAAUAUUGAAGAAAGAUGCGUUGUUUCAGCUAAAGCCAGCCUUAGCGCCAUGACUGUCCCCCGAACACUGUUUCAGGAAGGACCUCAAAGGUGUCCAUGUGCUCAACAAGGGGUGCGGCAUAUGCGUCUCUGGUCCUCCCGGGGCCAGCCUGCUGCCAUGGUUGGAGGUGAGGACCAGAUGUGGUGCUGAAAGGAGAAGACAGGGUGGGAGAAGGAUGGUGGUAUCAUUAAUUCAGUAUGUAUGCAUGCGUGUGUUUAUUAUUUAUCCAGUUUUUAAAUAGUGUUAGAAUACACAUAAUUCAAUAUAUAUUUAUUGAUCAACUGAUACAUGCCAGGCCUGUGUUUGUGCUGGCAACAGAACAAUCAUGAAGGCAGAAGAGAAGCAAAGAAAGACAGCAGACAAGGAAACACCUGGCUCCUCCAACCCCUCAUACGUUCACAUGUGUAUAGGUUGGUGGGGGAAAAACUGACCCAAACUGAAAACUAGACAAACUAUUUAUUACACAAGAUACACGAACAGAAUACAUAAAUAUGACAACAAAAAGUAAAGGGGAUUAUGAGUAAAAGAAUAUAGGAACUAAUCUAACCUAGGGGGUCGGAGGAGGUAGCCAGUAGGUAUAGUCUUGCUUAGCGUAAAACAAACAAACAACCUCCCCCCUCUAAAAAAAAAAAUACCAAAAACAUCGCUUUGGUUUGAUAAGCAGCACAGUUCAGGUAUCAAAUAUUCCUAGUUAAGUGUGUGGUCCUAGGCCUUUAAAAGACAUAGAACCUGGCCAGGCACUGUGGCUCACGCCUGUAAUCCCAGGUCUUAGGGAGGCAGAGGUGGGAGGAUAGCUUGAGCCCAGGAGAUCAAGACCUGCCUGGGCAGUAUAGCGAGACCCCAUUCGCCACAAAAAGGAAAAACAAAAAGACAAAAAAAAGAAAAAAAAGAAGACAGAAUUCUAUGGCAGAUGGUGGCUAUUUUCAUGAUGAAGUAGAAUAGUAGAACAAACCAAGGUUGACAGGAUAUCAAAAAUCCUGAUUGGCUUUAGUUACCGAGUGACUUCUGGGAAAAAUGUGGUUUUAAGAAAAGGUGAGAUUGGUGAGUAGGUAAAGAACUGGGAGAGAACUCCCAAUCUAGGAGAUAGUUUGGAAGGAGUAAAAAGCAAACAAGAGGUAAACAGAAUGAUGUGAUGGGUGGAAACCACAGGAGCCCAUUGGAAAGGCCGGGCCUUAAGGGCACAGACAAUGAAAUCAGCUAGAAGGGCAGGAAGUGCACCCUGGGGUGGCCCUCCCCACACAGGAACCUGACCUGGACAGGAAGUGAAGGGCAUCAUCUGAGGAGCAGGAAGGGAGACAUAAGGGAAGCUUGCAUUUCUUCUGUAUUUGAAAGUCAUGAUACUGAAGAAAUUCAAAAAUCUUCAGGAGAUUCCAUGUCCACAUAAAAAAUGCAAACUUAUCUUUACCGUAAUAUGUUCACUUCUCAUAACUCCUUGAUUGGAACCCUUCACUUCAUCCAGGCUGAGAGUUCUGUCAUGAAGGAGCCAGUGUCUCCAGGAGGAGUAUGAGAAUGGUGUAAAGUGUAAAUCCUGGAGAGGCUGUGGCAAGGGUCCAUGCCUGAAUGUGUACAGCAAGAACAGCUGGAGGCUGUGGCUUUCUCCAGGAAGAGGCUUUCAUUUGGUCUCUUUUUGAACCAGAAGACCCAGAAAACUUGGAUCCACUUCUGGCUUUGAUCCUUCCUGGCAGCAUGAUUUGGAGUAAGCCAUAACUUUUCUCUGUGCCAUCUUCCUGUUUAGGAAGGGGCUACUAAUAGUACCAGUUUCACAAGGUUAUCUGAAUAAGACAAGAGCACCGACACGAAGUGCCGGAAGCCAUGCUUGCUGGGAUUGGGAAUAUCGUAUUUAUGGUUUGAGUGCAUGAUGAUGUGACCACUCCUCUACUGCACAUGCUAAUUCUUUGAACAUUACUAAAGGACCCUCUGAACUUGUCGGCCUACUGUUCUUUGUACAGGUCUAAUCUCUUCGCAGGUAUUCCUUUGUAGUCUGGCAGCUCUCCUCCUGCACUCCGUGGGCAAGCUGAACGCCUUGCUGGGAUCUACGAGGCCUGCGUGUGAAUCCUGCUUCAGCUGGCUUCAUCUCCUACUAGGAAUUGCUUCUCUCCCUUUGGUUGCGAAUGGUGGGACUGUUUUGCCCUGACUUCCCCCAGCCACGUGGAAACGGUCCUAAAUUCUACAUUGGGAUUGGUACUUUCCUGUUUGGAAGCUCCUUUCUUCAGCUCUCUAACCACCAAGGACUUACAUAAAAAGAUUGAGUGGAUGUGUUAAAAGGACAGGGUCUCACUUCAUGGCUCAAGCUGGAGUGCAGUGUCUCGGUCACUGC